GACUCGGGCUGACGCGGGCUCACCUGUGGGUGCCGGUAGGGACGAGCGAACGCCGCCGCCUCCCAGCCCAGAGAGCCACCUCGUGUUUCAGCCCUGCGGAUAAUCCAGUGCCCCGUCGCUCUCGGCCCCCACAGCCUCUUGAGGUCCCUUGUGUGGGGAGUGGGGACUGGUGUAAUUUUAAGAGGAAACGACUUGGCCGUCCCUGUUGGGAUGUAAAGCAGCCCGUGGCAGCACUCAGUGAGAGUCCAAGCCCCAGCAGGGGAGCCAGAGUGGACCGAUCGCUCCAGGAACAUCAGGAACACGAUACAGGUGCUGCCAAAGGCAAAUUACCUUCAUCCCAGCAUUUUUACAUGGUGAGCUUUGUCUGGAAUUGAAGAAAAGAAAAAACUGAAAUGAACAGCUCACUGUGACCAUGCAGCUUGAGUCACUUGAACCAUGUCAGAUGGGAAACUAUUCUUAGUGGUCUUUCUGUGCAGUUGGCUUAUCUUCCAAGGAGAAAAGAAACCAUUUUUUUUGGGUGGGCGCUUCACCUUUCACCAGAAGAUUUGCUUGACCUCU
Cyanistes caeruleus (blue tit) is the source of this 558-nucleotide long non-coding RNA. RefSeq lists it as uncharacterized. The record is from RefSeq and is a predicted model, not a curated record. Lineage: Eukaryota; Metazoa; Chordata; Aves; Passeriformes; Paridae.